This 72-nucleotide transfer RNA is filed under the name Cavia porcellus (domestic guinea pig). It matches the Rfam family "tRNA". Rfam says of the family: Transfer RNA (tRNA) molecules are approximately 80 nucleotides in length. Their secondary structure includes four short double-helical elements and three loops (D, anti-codon, and T loops). Further hydrogen bonds mediate the characteristic L-shaped molecular structure. tRNAs have two regions of fundamental functional importance: the anti-codon, which is responsible for specific mRNA codon recognition, and the 3' end, to which the tRNAs corresponding amino acid is attached (by aminoacyl-tRNA synthetases). tRNAs cope with the degeneracy of the genetic code in two manners: having more than one tRNA (with a specific anti-codon) for a particular amino acid; and 'wobble' base-pairing, i.e. permitting non-standard base-pairing at the 3rd anti-codon position. Lineage: Eukaryota; Metazoa; Chordata; Mammalia; Rodentia; Caviidae. The record is from Rfam by way of RNAcentral.
UAGGAUGUAGCUCAGUGGCAGAGUGCCUGCCUUAUAUCCAUAAGGCCCUGGGUUUGAUCCCUAGCACCAUAA